Molecule: unclassified non-coding RNA, 332 nt
Filed under: soil metagenome
Description: partial contains 5.8S ribosomal RNA, internal transcribed spacer 2, and large subunit ribosomal RNA
Rfam family: 5.8S ribosomal RNA (bases 1-120)
Source: RNAcentral
GAUGAAGAACGCAGCGAAAUGCGAUAAGUAGUGUGAAUUGCAGAAUUCAGUGAAUCAUCGAAUCUUUGAACGCACAUUGCGCCCUUUGGUAUUCCUUAGGGCAUGCCUGUUCGAGCGUCAUUUAAACCUUCAAGCUCAGCUUGGUGUUGGGUGACUGUCCGCCUCACCGCGGACUCGCCUCAAAAUUAUUGGCGGCCGGUACAUUGGCUUCGAGCGCAGCAGAAACGCGAACUCGGGCCCGUCGUAUUGGCUCCCAGAAGCUAUCUUCACAAUUUUGACCUCGGAUCAGGUAGGGAUACCCGCUGAACUUAAGCAUAUCAAUAAGCGGAGGA